Prionailurus viverrinus (fishing cat) is the source of this 228-nucleotide long non-coding RNA. RefSeq lists it as uncharacterized. The transcript has 3 exons. The record is from RefSeq and is a predicted model, not a curated record. NCBI's taxonomy places the organism in Eukaryota, Metazoa, Chordata, Mammalia, Carnivora, Felidae.
GGUUGAAAAUUCCUGGUCUAAACGGGGAUACAGAGAAGCAGAGAAGCAUCUUCUUCAGAGGAAGAUGCAGAGGCAGGAAGAUGGAGAGGCAUGACCAGGGAAAGUGAGGGAAGCCAGAGAUGAAAGAGGAAGAAGACAACCUUUGGAGACAGAACUAAGGGAAUUCCAGAGAAAAAUAUCCUAUUAUCAAAACCCAGAAAAUCUUCAAUGAAAUGUUUGGACCUCAGA